AUGAAUCUCUUCUUUGUUUCUUCAUCUCCUCUUAUUCUGAUUCCUGCAUUUGUUUUAUGUGAAGGUUGCUCCGCUGAGGACAAGCUGCUUCUGCAGGUGGACGGGCCCUCAAGGCUGCUCUGCCUAUUCCUCCUGCUACCCCCACACGUGCAAACACAAAGCCGUCGAUGCAUUGAGGGCUCAAUGUCGUCUCCGCCGGCUGAGCGGCAAGCCGGGGUUGGGCCUGCACACCGUCUAUCAGCACCCUCCCGUGUCUCCAUUCACGGAUCUGCAGGCGACAUCCUUUGGGAAAUUGAGGAUGUCCUCGUGCAUUUUCUAAAUACAAUUGGGGCAUAUCUGAGGAAUGAAGGGAGGAAUAAUCUCGUGGGAGAGUUCGGUGCAGAGGAAGAAGAACAAGAUAUUAUUUAUUUCUUGUGUACAGUCAAGCUUGUGCAUUGUCCCACUUUCUGGGGCCAGGCAACCUUGAAUCCAACGUCCACCUGCAGGCUACAUCUCAGGGGAAAUUGCAAAGCAUAUUAUGAAUUGUUACAAGAAACUAUUUCUGCUGUUUUGGUGCAAGGACGUUGCUUUUUAGUAUGCUUCCCGUAUCUUGGUAUCUUGGAAUAA
Molecule: ribosomal RNA, 606 nt
Filed under: Triticum aestivum (bread wheat)
Lineage: Eukaryota; Viridiplantae; Streptophyta; Magnoliopsida; Poales; Poaceae
Description: partial small subunit ribosomal RNA
Source: RNAcentral